This 200-nucleotide unclassified non-coding RNA is filed under the name Filobasidium sp. RNAcentral's name for it is "partial internal transcribed spacer 2". The record is from RNAcentral. Lineage: Eukaryota; Fungi; Basidiomycota; Tremellomycetes; Filobasidiales; Filobasidiaceae.
CUAAGUUCAGCGGGUAGUCCUACCUGAUUUGAGGCCAUAUGUCAAAGUAAUACUAUAAGUAACACCAGAGAUGCACUUAAAGUAAGGUUUAGUAAGCAGACAAAAGUCAAGUCCUGGCCAUCCGAAGAUGUCCUUAGCAAAAUACUUAUUAUGCCAAGUCAAACCAGUCAAAGACAGAUCUAGCUAAUACUUUUAAGGUG